RNAcentral lists this long non-coding RNA (275 nucleotides) under Phoenix dactylifera (date palm). RNAcentral describes it as "long non-coding RNA (PDAC_LNC018149)". Lineage: Eukaryota; Viridiplantae; Streptophyta; Magnoliopsida; Arecales; Arecaceae. The record is from RNAcentral.
AGAAACAUUUGAAAGAUUUAAAAGAUUUAUCUUUUUUCUUGAAGAGUUGCUUUAAAUAAUAGCAAUUCAAGAGUUAAUCUUAGAGCCAGAGUUGCUCGGUCCUUUUUUUUUGCGCGCUGAAAAUGGGUUUUCAUACAAUACGUGUACGAAUAUAUUCAAUAAAAUCAAAAAACACUAACUCGCGGAGUGCCAAUGGCAGCUUCUUCUUUUCCGACCAAAGGUGAAUGAUAAGCUGCAAAGGCAGCCAUUUAGUUAGUCACCCUAUUGGCUUCUCU